AGGUCAAGCUAAGAAGGGCGCAGGGCGAAUGCCUUGGCAUCAGGAGCCGAAGAAGGACGUGACAAGCUGCGAAAAGCUCCGGGGAGUCGCAAGUAGACAUUGAUCCGGAGAUGUCCGAAUGGAGCAAUCCGCGUGGGAAAGCUCACGCAUCGUAUUCUGAAUCCAUAGGGAUACGAGGGGAACCGCCUGAACUGAAACAUCUAAGUAGGGCGAGGAAAAGAAAUCAACCGAGAUACCGCUAGUAGUGGCGAGCGAACGCGGCUCAGGCCAAACCGCUGGUAGAAAUACCGGCGGGGUUGCGGACUGCAUUUAGCAUUGUCAAGUUUUAGUCGAAGUGCAUGGGAAGGCACACCAGAGAAUGUGAGAGUCAUGUAGACGAAAAGACAAGACAGCGAGCAGGAUCCAGAGUACCGCGGGACACGAGGAAUCCCGUGGGAAGCAGGGGGGACCACCCUCCAAGCCUAAACACUACCUGAUGACCGAUAGCGAAGAGUACUGUGAAGGAAAGGUGAAAAGAACCCCGGGAGGGGAGUGAAAAAGAACCUGAAACCCUGUGCCUACAAGCACAUAGAGCACGUCAAGGUGUGAUAUGGUACCUAUUGUAGAAUGGUCCGGCGAGUUAUGUUAUGGAGCGAGGUUAAG
This 642-nucleotide ribosomal RNA is filed under the name Merdimmobilis hominis. Its description in RNAcentral is "partial 23S ribosomal RNA". It matches the Rfam family "Bacterial large subunit ribosomal RNA", at positions 1 to 650 of the family's 2925-position model. The record is from RNAcentral. Lineage: Bacteria; Bacillati; Bacillota; Clostridia; Eubacteriales; Oscillospiraceae.